CGGACGAGCAAUAUGAAGGUCAGGCUGAAGACCUUACCCGAUUAGCUGAGAGGUGGUGCAUGGCCGUCGUCAGUUCGUACUGUGAAGCAUCCUGUUAAGUCAGGCAACGAGCGAGACCCACGUCCACAGUUGCCAGUAUACCCUCCGGGGUGAUGGGUACACUGUGGAGACCGCCGCUGCUAAAGCGGAGGAAGGAGUGGGCAACGGUAGGUCAGUAUGCCCCGAAUCUCCCGGGCUACACGCGGGCUACAAUGGUUGGUACAAUGGGCAUCUACCCCGAAAGGGGAAGGAAAUCUCUUAAAGCCAAUCGUAGUUCGGAUUGAGGGCUGCAACUCGCCCUCAUGAAGCUGGAAUCCGUAGUAAUCGCGUUUCAACAGAACGCGGUGAAUACGUCCCUGCUCCUU
This 404-nucleotide ribosomal RNA is filed under the name uncultured Methanosaeta sp. RNAcentral describes it as "bacterial SSU rRNA". It matches the Rfam family "Archaeal small subunit ribosomal RNA", at positions 936 to 1338 of the family's 1478-position model. Lineage: Archaea; Methanobacteriati; Methanobacteriota; Methanomicrobia; Methanotrichales; Methanotrichaceae. The record is from RNAcentral.